GUGGGGAAUAUUCCGCAAUGGACGAAAGUCUGACGGAGCAACGCCGCGUGAGUGAUGAAGGUUUUCGGACUGUAAAGCUCUGUUGUUUAGGACGAAAGUGCCUGUUGCAAAUAGUUACAGGUAUUGACGGUACUGAACGAGGAAGCCACGGCUAACUACGUGCCAGCAGCCGCGGUAAUACGUAGGUGGCAAGCGUUGUCCGGAAUUAUUGGGCGUAAAGAGCAUGUAGGCGGGAAUCUAAGUCUGUUGUGAAAAUGCGGGGCUCAACCCCGUAUGGCGAUGGAAACUGGGUUUCUUGAGUGCAGGAGAGGAAAGGGGAAUUCCCAGUGUAGCGGUGAAAUGCGUAGAUAUUGGGAGGAACACCAGUGGCGAAGGCGCCUUUCUGGACUGUGUCUGACGCUGAGAUGCGAAAGCCAGGGUAGCGAACGGGAUUAGAAACCCUUGUAGUCC
Molecule: ribosomal RNA, 450 nt
Filed under: uncultured bacterium
Lineage: Bacteria
Description: partial 16S ribosomal RNA
Rfam family: Bacterial small subunit ribosomal RNA
Source: RNAcentral